RNAcentral lists this ribosomal RNA (255 nucleotides) under uncultured bacterium. RNAcentral describes it as "partial 16S ribosomal RNA". It matches the Rfam family "Bacterial small subunit ribosomal RNA", at positions 524 to 774 of the family's 1533-position model. The record is from RNAcentral.
UACGUAGGGCGCAAGCGUUAUCCGGAAUUAUUGGGCGUAAAGAGCUCGUAGGCGGUUUGUCGCGUCUGCCGUGAAAAGUCCCGGGGGCUCAACUCCGGAUCUGCGGUGGGUACGGGCAGACUAAAGUGAUGUAGGGGAGACUGGAAUUCCUGGUGUAGCGGUGAAAUGCACAGAUAUCAGGAGGAACACCGAAUGGCGAAGGCGGGUCUCUGGCCGUAACUGGACGCUGAGGAGCGAAAGCGUGGGGAGCGAACG